AAACCAUGAUGGGGACACUUGCGUAGGAUAUCCUUGAAUCUCUCAUGUGCUUCAAAAAGUGUCUCGGAGUCCCCUUGGUGGAAUGCUAAAACCUCUUGUCUCAAUCU
Small nucleolar RNA from Dioscorea cayenensis subsp. rotundata (Guinea yam), 107 nucleotides. The record is from RefSeq and is a predicted model, not a curated record. NCBI's taxonomy places the organism in Eukaryota, Viridiplantae, Streptophyta, Magnoliopsida, Dioscoreales, Dioscoreaceae.